ACGGGUGAGUAACGCGUGGGUAACCUACCCUGUACACACGGAUAACAUACCGAAAGGUAUGCUAAUACGGGGUAAUAUAUUUGAGAGGCAUCUCUUGAAUAUCAAAGGUGAGCCAGUACAGGAUGGACCCGCGUCUGAUUAGCUAGUUGGUAAGGUAACGGCUUACCAAGGCGACGAUCAGUAGCCGACCUGAGAGGGUGAUCGGCCACAUUGGAACUGAGACACGGUCCAAACUCCUACGGGAGGCAGCAGUGGGGAAUAUUGCACAAUGGGCGAAAGCCUGAUGCAGCAACGCCGCGUGAGUGAUGAAGGCCUUCGGGUCGUAAAACUCUGUCCUCAAGGAAGAUAAUGACGGUACUUGAGGAGGAAGCCCCGGCUAACUACGUGCCAGCAGCCGCGGUAAUACGUAGGGGGCUAGCGUUAUCCGGAUUUACUGGGCGUAAAGGGUGCGUAGGCGGUCUUUCAAGUCAGGAGUGAAAGGCUACGGCUCAACCGUAGUAAGCUCUUGAAACUGGGAGACUUGAGUGCAGGAGAGGAGAGUGGAAUUCCUAGUGUAGCGGUGAAAUGCGUAGAUAUUAGGAGGAACACCAGUUGCGAAGGCGGCUCUCUGGACUGUAACUGACGCUGAGGCACGAAAGCGUGGGGAGCAAACAGGAUUAGAUACCCUGGUAGUCCACGCUGUAAA
RNAcentral lists this ribosomal RNA (685 nucleotides) under uncultured bacterium. RNAcentral's name for it is "bacterial SSU rRNA". It matches the Rfam family "Bacterial small subunit ribosomal RNA", at positions 102 to 806 of the family's 1533-position model. The record is from RNAcentral.